CACACAACUGAGUUCAAGGUAAGAACUGGACUCUCGGUAUUUUGGUGCCACAAGGGGAAGAGCUUGUAACACCCCGUGACUGGCAGUUCCCUCAGAGACUUUACAAGCAAAAGAAACGGGCCAGACGACUUCAACCGGACUAUAUAUAUAUAUAUACGUUUCUGUCAUUUCUGUAGAGCCCAAGCCUCCAAGACGACAGACGGACAACUGUUCCAAAGGUAGGACACACAUAUUAGACGACUAUUUAGCAAGCAUGCAAACUAUAGGGGAUGCAAAUUAUAGGAGAGCCCAAAUGCUUAACCUGUAAAGUUUGAAGAUAUUUAGAUCUUCUGGCAUUUCCAUUUGCUUAAUGACAGAAGUAAGAACUAAUCCCAAAGUCCAUAUCUGAAGAUUUUCCUAGUUUUGAGAAGUGUCAGGAUAUAGAUUUUGGAGUGACCUGUCUCAGCUGCGUUAGAUUAGCUGAAUGAACAUGAAGAAUCUUCUUUUAAGAAGAAAUGGGAUCUCAAGAGUCAGGGCACUUCCACAUACAAGUAUGGUUUGCGUGUACAGAAAUGGCAUGUAAAGAAAUUAACGUAAAAGUCUAAAAAAUUUCAGAAGUUUAAGAUUUCUCUUACCCGAUGGUUUGUUGAAUAAUAUUUACCUUUUAUCUUUCACAGAUAUUUUGUUUAAAAAUAUGAACGUGUAACAAUGCCCUCUGAAAGAUGUCAUGUUGACAGGGGUACAGCCAAAAUGACAAGAGGGUGACCUGUCGCUGAACUCGGGAGCAGAAACUCCAUCCUGUAUUUGAUAAACUUUCCUCUCAAAACCAAUACAUGUACAAGGAACUAGAGCUGCAAAGACAGGGAGGGAGGAUGCCUGUGGCUCACAUCCUUUCCAGUUCCCCCUCACUGGUACGAGUUUUCAGAAUGAUGGCGUGGAUUUAUUCGAAGGAAACAGUGUGGAAACAGACCUGGAUGCAUGUGACAGAGCUGGAGGGAUCCCAGUAUAAUUAAUGCAUAGUGAAACAACUUACCUCGACACGAAGAUUGCAGCUGUGAAACAGAACAUUUGAAAGCUGCAGAAGCGUUUGGGACGAGGAUCUUCUGAUUGAAUUGAUGUAUUUAUUGGUUUGCUAGUGUAUGUAGUGUUUUAUCAAGAAAGUGACGUUAACUACGCUGCCCCCAUUGCGUUACGAGCUGUGACGCCACGGAGCAGGCUGAGGAGCUGCGUGAGGCUGCGUGCCGAUGCGGGAAGCCCGGCUUCAGCGCCUGCGAGCGAUGCUGCGGUGCCUGAUCACAUCUGCAUUUCCUCUCUGGCAGAAUCCACACGUUUUAGCGUGAAAGCCUGCUUUUUAACUGCUGUCCCAUUUCCUAUGUAUUCUUUCUUCAUGUUCUUCUAAAUUGUUUCUCAGUUGCUGUAUACAGAAUAAACUGCAAUAACAAGGUGUAAUUCUAGAUCUA
This 1439-nucleotide long non-coding RNA is filed under the name Struthio camelus australis. RNAcentral describes it as "lncRNA (ENSSCUG00000009962.1)". Lineage: Eukaryota; Metazoa; Chordata; Aves; Struthioniformes; Struthionidae. The record is from RNAcentral.